RNAcentral lists this ribosomal RNA (468 nucleotides) under uncultured bacterium. RNAcentral's name for it is "partial 16S ribosomal RNA". It matches the Rfam family "Bacterial small subunit ribosomal RNA", at positions 28 to 507 of the family's 1533-position model. The record is from RNAcentral.
GACGAACGCUGGCGGCGUGCUUAACACAUGCAAGUCGAACGGAAAGGCCCUGCUUUUGUGGGGUGCUCGAGUGGCGAACGGGUGAGUAACACGUGAGUAACCUGCCCUUGACUUUGGGAUAACUUCAGGAAACUGGGGCUAAUACCGGAUAGGAGCUCCUGCUGCAUGGUGGGGGUUGGAAAGUUUCGGCGGGUGGGGAUGGACUCGCGGCUUAUCAGCUUGUUGGUGGGGUAGUGGCUUACCAAGGCUUUGACGGGUAGCCGGCCUGAGAGGGUGACCGGCCACAUUGGGACUGAGAUACGGCCCAGACUCCUACGGGAGGCAGCAGUGGGGAAUAUUGCGCAAUGGGCGGAAGCCUGAUGCAGCAACGCCGCGUGCGGGAUGACGGCCUUCGGGUUGUAAACCGCUUUCGCCUGUGACGAAGCGUGAGUGACGGUAAUGGGUAAAGAAGCACCGGCUAACUACGUG